GACGAACGCUGGCGGCGUGCUUAAUACAUGCAAGUCGAGCGGAGCUAAUCAAAAGCUUGCUUUUGAAUAGUCGAGCGGCGGACGGGUGAGUAACGCGUGGGCAAUCUGCCUUCUAGCCUGGGACAACAGUUCGAAAGGACUGCUAAAACCGGAUAUGCUCCCGGAGGGACAUCCCUCAGAGAGGAAAGGAAACACUAGAAGAUGAGCCAGCGUCCCAUUAGCGAGUUGGUGAGGUAACGGCCCACCAAGGCGACGAUGGGUAGCCGACCUGAGAGGGUGACCGGCCACACUGGAACUGAGACACGGCCCAGACUCCUACGGGAGGCAGCAGUGGGGAAUAUUGCACAAUGGGCGGAAGCCUGAUGCAGCAACGCCGCGUGAGGGAUGACGGCCUUCGGGUUGUAAACCUCUUUUAGCAGGGAAGAAGCGAAAGUGACGGUACCUGCAGAAAAAGCGCCGGCUAACUACGUGCCAGCCGCCGCAGUAA
RNAcentral lists this ribosomal RNA (487 nucleotides) under uncultured bacterium. RNAcentral's name for it is "partial 16S ribosomal RNA". It matches the Rfam family "Bacterial small subunit ribosomal RNA", at positions 28 to 523 of the family's 1533-position model. The record is from RNAcentral.